GCACCGCUGACGACCGGCGAACGGGUGCGUAACGCGUAUAGAAUCUGCCUUGUACAGGAGGAUAGCCUUUAGAAAUGAAGAUUAAUACUCCAUAAUGUUGGGAAGUGGCAUCACUAUCUAACUAAAGAUUUAUCGGUACAAGAUGACUAUGCGGUCCUAUUAAGCAAGAGGGAAAGGUAACGGCUUACCAGGGCAACGAUAGGUAGGGGGUCUGAGAGGAUUAUUCCCCCACACUGGUACUGAGACACGGACCCAGACUCCUACGGGAGGCAGCAGUGAGGAAUAUUGGUCAAUGGAGGCAACUCUGAACCAGCCAUGCCGCGUGCAGGAAGACUGCCCUAUGGGUUGUAAACUGCUUUUAUACAGGAAGAAACAGUCGUACGUGUACGGCCUUGACGGUACUGUAAGAAUAAGCACCGGCUAACUCCGUGCCAGCAGCCGCGGUAAUACGGAGGGUGCAAGCGUUAUCCGGAAUCAUUGGGUUUAAAGGGUCCGCAGGCGGUCAAUUAAGUCAGAGGUGAAAUCCCAUAGCUUAACUAUGGAACUGCCUUUGAUACUGGUUGACUUGAGUUAUACGGAAGUAGAUAGAAUAAGUAGUGUAGCGGUGAAAUGCAUAGAUAUUACUUAGAAUACCGAUUGCGAAGGCAGUCUACUACGUAUAUACUGACGCUCAUGGACGAAAGCGUGGGGAGCGAACAGGAUUAGAUACCCUGGUAGUCCACGCCGUAAACGAUGGACACUAGUUGUUGGGCAAUAGUUCAGUGACUAAGCGAAAGUGAUAAGUGUCCCACCUGGGGAGUACGAUCGCAAGAUUGAAACUCAAAGGAAUUGACGGGGGCCCGCACAAGCGGUGGAGCAUGUGGUUUAAUUCGAUGAUACGCGAGGAACCUUACCAGGGCUUAAAUGUAGAGUGACAGGGGUAGAGAUACCUUUUUCUUCGGACACUUUACAAGGUGCUGCAUGGUUGUCGUCAGCUCGUGCCGUGAGGUGUCAGGUUAAGUCCUAUAACGAGCGCAACCCCUAUCGUUAGUUGCUAGCAGGUAAAGCUGAGGACUCUAGCGAGACUGCCGGUGCAAACCGUGAGGAAAGGUGGGGAUGACGUCAAAUCAUCACGGCCCUUACGUCCGGGGCUAACACACGGGCUACAAGGGUAUGGGACAAUGAGCACCCACAACGCCGAGUUGGAGCGAAUCUAUAAACCAUAUUCACAGUUCGGAUCGAAGUCGGCAACUCCACCCCGUGAAGCUGG
This 1249-nucleotide ribosomal RNA is filed under the name Tenacibaculum sp. Its description in RNAcentral is "bacterial SSU rRNA". It matches the Rfam family "Bacterial small subunit ribosomal RNA", at positions 82 to 1329 of the family's 1533-position model. The record is from RNAcentral. Lineage: Bacteria; Pseudomonadati; Bacteroidota; Flavobacteriia; Flavobacteriales; Flavobacteriaceae.